UUCACCACGCUCAGCCCCUCCAAGGCCACCUUCACCUUGCCGUACACAUCGUCCGGAGCCGCCACAGCGCUGAUCACGUGGCACUUGCCCUGCGUAAGGUAGUGGUCCUUCACGGGCAGCGACUGAUCCAGGAAGGUGCGGAAGCGCUUGCGAAUGGUGUCGGCGUUGUCGUCGCUGCGGCCGCUGGUCUCCCCGCGCUUCAGCAGGCGCUUCUCCAUCUCCUCCUCCGGGCAGUCGAAGAACAGCACCGUCUUGCACGGCAUAAUGCUGCUCUCAAACUGCUCCGCCUGGUCCAGCGCGCGCGGAAAGCCGUCGAUGAGGAAGAACUUGCCACCGCUGGCUAUCAUGUCCCGCUUCAGCAGGUUGAGCGUGACAGCCACCGGCACGAGCUUGCCCUCCUUCAUCAGCGCCUCGCACUUCUGGCCGACCUCGCUGCCGCUCUUCACCUCAGCGCGCAGCAGGUCGCCGGCGCUGAGGUGCACGCAAUCGUAGUCGGCCUUAAUCUUGUCGCACUGCGUGCCCUUGCCGCUGCCGGGGCCACCGAGCACGAACACAAUCUGGGCAUCGGCGGGCAGGCUGCCGGGCACGGACGGCAGCGCAAUCUCCUGUGAAGGGAGCAUGGAUUAAAAAUGUUGUAAGAUAUGUGAAAAUCGGUCGUUUCACAUGCGAGUGCUGAACCCAUCAGCCGUCAACGUGAAUCCAUCAAGACAUGCAAACCGGAUCCCGGAAUGUGCAUGCAUAUGCGCGCCCAAGCACAAGCACAAGAUGCAAGCCGUUUACGGCAAACACCACGCCUAGGGACCAGAGUGCCACAAAGCCCGCCCAAGCAAAGCCCCACCCACCUCCGACUUCUUGGGUGCGCCCAUAGCGUCCAGCGCCGCCUUCACCUUGCCGUACACCUCCUUUGGGGGAGGGACAGCGCUGAUCACGUGGCACUUGCCCUGCGCAAGGUAGUGGUCCUUCACAGGCAGCGACUGAUCCAGGAAGGUGCGGAAGCGCUUGCGAAUGGUGUCGGCGUUGUCGUCGCUGCGGCCGCUGGUCUCCCCGCGCUUCAGCAGGCGCUUCUCCAUCUCCUCCUCCGGGCAGUCGAAGAACAGCACCGUCUUGCACGGCAUGAUGCUGCUCUCAAACUGCUCCGCCUGGUCCAGCGCGCGUGGAAAGCCGUCGAUGAGGAAGAACUUGCCGCCGCUGGCUAUCAUGUCCCGCUUCAGCAGGUUGAGCGUGACAGCCACCGGCACGAGCUUGCCCUCCUUCAUCAGCGCCUCGCACUUCUGGCCGACCUCGCUGCCGCUCUUCACCUCAGCGCGCAGCAGGUCGCCGGCGCUGAGGUGCACGCACUCAUACUCCUCCUUGAUCUGAUCGCAUUGCGUGCCCUUGCCGCUGCCGGGGCCGCCGAGCACGAACACGAUCUGGGCAUCGGCGGGCAGGCUGCCAGGCACAGGCGGCAGCGCAAUCUCCUGCGGGCACGUGCAGCCGAGGACAUUCAGGUUAGGACCGAAUGGCACCAGCCGCAAUCAGAUGCUACGAAACAAAAGCUAUUACUUCCAUGCGGAGAUUAAUUGGCACAGCUGCUAUCCGUUUCCCGCCCCAGCAGCCCCGCAUUAUAGUCAAAAACGCCGUACAACGCAUCCCGGCUUUCCCUUACCUCUGAAACCGCAGCAGCCGCCUUCUUCGGCGCGUGCAAGCCCUCCAACACCACCUUCACCUUGCCGUACACAUCGUCCGGAGCCGCCACAGCGCUGAUCACGUGGCACUUGCCCUGCGCAAGGUAGUGGUCCUUCACAGGCAGCGACUGCUCCAGGAAGGUGUGGAAGCGCUUGCGAAUGGUGUCGGCGUUGUCGUCGCUGCGGCCGCUGGUCUCCCCGCGCUUCAGCAGGCGCUUCUCCAUCUCCUCCUCCGGGCAGUCAAAGAACAGCACCGUCUUGCACGGCAUAAUGCUGCUCUCAAACUGCUCCGCCUGGUCCAGCGCGCGCGGAAAGCCGUCGAUGAGGAAGAACUUGCCACCGCUGGCUAUCAUGUCCCGCUUCAGCAGGUUGAGCGUGACAGCCACCGGCACGAGCUUGCCCUCCUUCAUCAGCGCCUCGCACUUCUGGCCGACCUCGCUGCCGCUCUUCACCUCAGCGCGCAGCAGGUCGCCGGCGCUGAGGUGCACGCACUCGUAGUCGGCCUUAAUCUUGUCGCAUUGCGUGCCCUUGCCGCUGCCGGGGCCGCCGAGCACGAACACGAUCUGGGCAUCGGCAGGCAGGCUGCCAGGCACAGGCGGCAGCGCGAUGUCCUGUUGCAUGAACGGAGAGCACAGAAGGAGGCAAGACGUUUCAGUUUUACAGUGACCAAACAUCCACUUGGCGCUACGGCCCGAGUGCUUCCCAAAGCACCCAUAGCAUCCUGCUGUCGCAUACAGCGCUGUGCGCAUCCCGAAAUUAAAGCCCCAACAAUUGGACAUAAGACAAGCCCAUGUCCAUUCACGACCCAAAUCUACGUGCUCAGGUCACGGCGCCGCAAAGUCCACCCAAGCAAAGCCCCACCCACCUCGGACUUCUUGGGUGCGCCCAUAGCGUCCAGCGCCGCCUUCACCUUGCCGUACACUUCCUUUGGGGGAGGGACAGCGCUGAUCACGUGGCACUUGCCCUGCGCAAGGUAGUGGUCCUUCACAGGCAGCGACUGAUCCAGGAAGGUGCGGAAGCGCUUGCGAAUGGUGUCGGCGUUGUCGUCGCUGCGGCCGCUGGUCUCCCCGCGCUUCAGCAGGCGCUUCUCCAUCUCCUCCUCCGGGCAGUCAAAGAACAGCACCGUCUUGCACGGCAUGAUGCUGCUCUCAAACUGCUCCGCCUGGUCCAGCGCGCGUGGAAAGCCGUCGAUGAGGAAGAACUUGCCGCCGCUGGCUAUCAUGUCCCGCUUCAGCAGGUUGAGCGUGACAGCCACCGGCACGAGCUUGCCCUCCUUCAUCAGCGCCUCGCACUUCUGGCCAACCUCGCUGCCGCUCUUCACCUCAGCGCGCAGCAGGUCGCCGGCGCUGAGGUGCACGCACUCAUACUCCUCCUUGAUCUGAUCGCAUUGCGUGCCCUUGCCGCUGCCGGGGCCGCCGAGCACGAACACGAUCUGGGCGUCGGCAGGCAGGCUGCCGGGCACGGGCGGCAGCGCAAACUCCUGCAUAGGGACGAAAAUGCAAUGGAAAUCAGCAAGCCGAGAUUAAUAAUCAGUGGAAACUUACGCAUCAGUACACUUGCACUUCAGUACGCAUCCUACUACCGGGAGGAUACGGUAAGGCAGGCAGGCAGAGGCCAUCGAUUUCACGCUUGCCCCAGCUUUCCGUACGAUGUACCGUAUGCUAGGUUGCUUGACCGGAACCCGUGCAAGACGCACACGGAUAUACCACCGGUGAACAGCCAUGACCGCUCACCUCCAAAGCAGCCGCAGCAGGAGUAGCCGAAACUGUCGCAGUCACGCCCGCCUUCUUCGGCGCGUGCAAGCCCUCCAGCACCACCUUCACCUUGCCGUACACAUCGUCCGGAGCCGCCACAGCGCUGAUCACGUGGCACUUGCCCUGCGUAAGGUAGUGGUCCUUCACAGGCAGCGACUGAUCCAGGAAGGUGCGGAAGCGCUUGCGAAUGGUGUCGGCGUUGUCGUCGCUGCGGCCGCUGGUCUCCCCGCGCUUCAGCAGGCGCUUCUCCAUCUCCUCCUCCGGGCAGUCGAAGAACAGCACCGUCUUGCACGGCAUGAUGCUGCUCUCAAACUGCGCCGCCUGGUCCAGCGCGCGCGGAAAGCCGUCGAUGAGGAAGAACUUGCCGCCGCUGGCUAUCAUGUCCCGCUUCAGCAGGUUAAGCGUGACAGCCACCGGCACGAGCUUGCCCUCCUUCAUCAGCGCCUCGCACUUCUGGCCGACCUCGCUGCCGCUCUUCACCUCAGCGCGCAGCAGGUCGCCGGCGCUGAGGUGCACGCACUCGUAGUCGGCCUUAAUCUUGUCGCAUUGCGUCCCCUUGCCGCUGCCGGGGCCGCCGAGCACGAACACGAUCUGGGCGUCGGCAGGCAGGUUGCCGGGCACAGGUGGCAGCGCGAUGUCCUGCAUAAAAGCAACCAAGGGAACAAACGUGCAAUCAUAAGGUGUUGGCUGUGGCGCCGACCAUGACCCAGUGCCCUUGUACACAAAGCAAUGGGGCGUGCCGUACGCGCCGCACACACAGAACAGCGGUUUGGUGGCUGGAAACAUAAGAUGCGGCACGGUAUCCCUAUCUGCAGGUCGGCUUCUCAAGUGUUCAACUUAGGCAAGACGCACCUCCGAAGCAGCCGGGGCCGCUGCAAGUGCCGUCGCCGCUGCGCUCGCCUUCUUCGGCGCGUGCAAGCCCUCCAGCACCACCUUCACCUUGCCGUACACAUCGUCCGGAGCCGCCACAGCGCUGAUCACGUGGCACUUGCCCUGCGUAAGGUAGUGGUCCUUCACGGGCAGCGACUGAUCCAGGAAGGUGUGGAAGCGCUUGCGAAUGGUGUCGGCGUUGUCGUCGCUGCGGCCGCUGGUCUCCCCGCGCUUCAGCAGGCGCUUCUCCAUCUCCUCCUCCGGGCAGUCAAAGAACAGCACCGUCUUGCACGGCAUGAUGCUGCUCUCAAACUGCUCCGCCUGGUCCAGCGCGCGUGGAAAGCCGUCGAUGAGGAAGAACUUGCCGCCGCUGGCUAUCAUGUCCCGCUUCAGCAGGUUGAGCGUGACAGCCACCGGCACGAGCUUGCCCUCCUUCAUCAGCGCCUCGCACUUCUGGCCAACCUCGCUGCCGCUCUUCACCUCAGCGCGCAGCAGGUCGCCGGCGCUGAGGUGCACGCACUCAUACUCCUCCUUGAUCUGAUCGCAUUGCGUGCCCUUGCCGCUGCCGGGGCCGCCGAGCACGAACACGAUCUGGGCGUCGGCAGGCAGGCUGCCGGGCACGGGCGGCAGCGCAAACUCCUGCAUAGGGACGAAAAUGCAAUGGAAAUCAGCAAGCCGAGAUUAAUAAUCAGUGGAAACUUACGCAUCAGUACACUUGCACUUCAGUACGCAUCCUACUACCGGGAGGAUACGGUAAGGCAGGCAGGCAGAGGCCAUCGAUUUCACGCUUGCCCCAGCUUUCCGUACGAUGUACCGUAUGCUAGGUUGCUUGACCGGAACCCGUGCAAGACGCACACGGAUAUACCACCGGUGAACAGCCAUGACCGCUCACCUCCAAAGCAGCCGCAGCAGGAGUAGCCGAAACUGUCGCAGUCACGCCCGCCUUCUUCGGCGCGUGCAAGCCCUCCAGCACCACCUUCACCUUGCCGUACACAUCGUCCGGAGCCGCCACAGCGCUGAUCACGUGGCACUUGCCCUGCGUAAGGUAGUGGUCCUUCACAGGCAGCGACUGAUCCAGGAAGGUGCGGAAGCGCUUGCGAAUGGUGUCGGCGUUGUCGUCGCUGCGGCCGCUGGUCUCCCCGCGCUUCAGCAGGCGCUUCUCCAUCUCCUCCUCCGGGCAGUCGAAGAACAGCACCGUCUUGCACGGCAUGAUGCUGCUCUCAAACUGCGCCGCCUGGUCCAGCGCGCGCGGAAAGCCGUCGAUGAGGAAGAACUUGCCGCCGCUGGCUAUCAUGUCCCGCUUCAGCAGGUUAAGCGUGACAGCCACCGGCACGAGCUUGCCCUCCUUCAUCAGCGCCUCGCACUUCUGGCCGACCUCGCUGCCGCUCUUCACCUCAGCGCGCAGCAGGUCGCCGGCGCUGAGGUGCACGCACUCGUAGUCGGCCUUAAUCUUGUCGCAUUGCGUCCCCUUGCCGCUGCCGGGGCCGCCGAGCACGAACACGAUCUGGGCGUCGGCAGGCAGGUUGCCGGGCACAGGUGGCAGCGCGAUGUCCUGCAUAAAAGCAACCAAGGGAACAAACGUGCAAUCAUAAGGUGUUGGCUGUGGCGCCGACCAUGACCCAGUGCCCUUGUACACAAAGCAAUGGGGCGUGCCGUACGCGCCGCACACACAGAACAGCGGUUUGGUGGCUGGAAACAUAAGAUGCGGCACGGUAUCCCUAUCUGCAGGUCGGCUUCUCAAGUGUUCAACUUAGGCAAGACGCACCUCCGAAGCAGCCGGGGCCGCUGCAAGUGCCGUCGCCGCUGCGCUCGCCUUCUUCGGCGCGUGCAAGCCCUCCAGCACCACCUUCACCUUGCCGUACACAUCGUCCGGAGCCGCCACAGCGCUGAUCACGUGGCACUUGCCCUGCGUAAGGUAGUGGUCCUUCACGGGCAGCGACUGAUCCAGGAAGGUGUGGAAGCGCUUGCGAAUGGUGUCGGCGUUGUCGUCGCUGCGGCCGCUGGUCUCCCCGCGCUUCAGCAGGCGCUUCUCCAUCUCCUCCUCCGGGCAGUCAAAGAACAGCACCGUCUUGCACGGCAUGAUGCUGUUCUCAAACUGCGCCGCCUGGUCCAGCGCGCGCGGAAAGCCGUCGAUGAGGAAGAACUUGCCGCCGCUGGCUAUCAUGUCCCGCUUCAGCAGGUUGAGCGUGACAGCCACCGGCACGAGCUUGCCCUCCUUCAUCAGCGCCUCGCACUUCAGGCCGACCUCACUGCCGCUCUUCACCUCAGCGCGCAGCAG
This 6566-nucleotide long non-coding RNA is filed under the name Chlamydomonas reinhardtii. Its description in RNAcentral is "long non-coding RNA (CREI_LNC000042)". Lineage: Eukaryota; Viridiplantae; Chlorophyta; Chlorophyceae; Chlamydomonadales; Chlamydomonadaceae. The record is from RNAcentral.